Molecule: long non-coding RNA, 723 nt
Organism: Tympanuchus pallidicinctus (lesser prairie-chicken)
Lineage: Eukaryota; Metazoa; Chordata; Aves; Galliformes; Phasianidae
Exons: 3
Source: RefSeq, a predicted model, not a curated record
CUGACUCACCGCUGGUCUCCAAAACUGCAUGCACCUGAUAUUUGACUUCAUACGUUCUGUACAGGUCCGGAAAGAGCAGAGGAUGAACCCGAAAGAGGAAGAAAGUCCCAGGGCUUACCCCGUCUCCUAAAGGAACUGCUGAAGGAAAUAGAGAAGGCACCGCGUGGAAUUGACCAAGAAACUGAGCAGGAUGCACUGCAGGAAGGCAGCCAUCCCACCCUGCCGGUCUCGGACAGCGGAACGCAGGCAGCGCCAACAGCUGGCACGCCAGGGAUGAAUGCCGGGAAAAGCACAGAGGCUGCUGUUCACCAAUCUGCGCGGAAGCGCUACAUCGCAGCCGUGGUAAUGUUCCCUGCUGCGGUGCUGGCCUGUGGUGCUGUGAUAUGGAUGUGCAAAACAUACUUGUGAGUAGGCUUUUCCCCAAAACACCCGAUUGCUGCAUUUGGCAAUGAAGCAUCUGUAGUGCCAGGAUCCUGGACGGCCAAAUCAGCUGCUGGCAGUGCACUGCCAGGACUUACCAAGUUGCCAAGUCUUUCAAGUUUCCCCUUAUUUCCUGUCAGUGAGUAGUGCUUUCUGAAACUCCUUCUCACAGAGUGUGCAAGAGAGAAGAGAGAGCAGCAGAACCGGCUCAUCCUGAUACCAACUAGGAGAGAGUUCCAACUGGAGACGAGGGCAGAAUGGAGCUGGGAGAGGCAACAGAAGAGACUCUUGCCCCAUCAAACA